UACCAGCACCCCGAGUGGUCGGGACGUUUAUUGGGCCUAAAGCAUCCGUAGCCGGUUCUACAAGUCUUCCGUUAAAUCCACCUGCUUAACAGAUGGGCUGCGGAAGAUACUAUAGAGCUAGGAGGCGGGAGAGGCAAGCGGUACUCGAUGGGUAGGGGUAAAAUCCGUUGAUCCAUUGAAGACCACCAGUGGCGAAGGCGGCUUGCCAGAACGCGCUCGACGCUGAGGUGCGAAAGCGUGGGGAGCAAACAGG
RNAcentral lists this ribosomal RNA (253 nucleotides) under uncultured bacterium. RNAcentral's name for it is "partial 16S ribosomal RNA". It matches the Rfam family "Archaeal small subunit ribosomal RNA", at positions 474 to 727 of the family's 1478-position model. The record is from RNAcentral.